GUGCACGCUGGCGGUAGGCCUAACCCCUGCCAGUCGCACGGCAGCACAGUAAGAGCUUGCUCUUACGGGUGGCGAGUGGCGGACGGGUGAGGAAUACAUCGGAAUCUACUUUUUCGUGGGGGAUAACGUAGGGAAACUUACGCUAAUACCGCAUACGACCUACGGGUGAAAGCCGGGGAUCUUCGGACCUUGCGCGAUUGAAUGAGCCGAUGUCGGAUUAGCUAGUUGGCGGGGUAAAGGCCCACCAAGGCGACGAUCCGUAGCUGGUCUGAGAGGAUGAUCAGCCACACUGGAACUGAGACACGGUCCAGACUCCUACGGGAGGCAGCAGUGGGGAAUAUUGGACAAUGGGCGCAAGCCUGAUCCAGCCAUACCGCGUGGGUGAAGAAGGCCUUCGGGUUGUAAAGCCCUUUUGUUGGGAAAGAAAAGCAGCAGGUUAAUACCCCGCUGUUCUGACGGUACCCAAAGAAUAAGCACCGGCUAACUUCGUG
RNAcentral lists this ribosomal RNA (491 nucleotides) under uncultured bacterium. RNAcentral describes it as "partial 16S ribosomal RNA". It matches the Rfam family "Bacterial small subunit ribosomal RNA", at positions 29 to 507 of the family's 1533-position model. The record is from RNAcentral.